Tarenaya hassleriana is the source of this 545-nucleotide long non-coding RNA. RefSeq lists it as uncharacterized. The record is from RefSeq and is a predicted model, not a curated record. Lineage: Eukaryota; Viridiplantae; Streptophyta; Magnoliopsida; Brassicales; Cleomaceae. The transcript has 3 exons.
CUUCUCUCUCUCCUAACUCUCACGGUUUUAGUUCUCUCUCUUUCAAAACUUAUAAUCUUUUGCAUUUUGUUCUAUUUUCUAUUUAAAUCUCCGGUUAGAUUCAAGAUUCGAAGAAGAAAUGAAAACCGCGUGGAAAUUGCAAGGUUAGACAAAAACAUGCCACCAAAAAUUGAGGAGAUAGAAGAAGCAAUGACGACAUCGAAGAAAUGACAAGUUCAUGUUCAUCUUCGUCACAUUUUUCGAGCAAAAAUAGGAACCUUAUGGAGAUUACGGAGUUAGAUGAACACAAGCACACUGCACACGGAAGAGAUGAUGUAUGAACUCCACAUCUGCAUUAUAAAGCAAUACGUGACCUACAUAGGAUGCGACUAUUUGACUUGUGAUACUAUGUUCAUAGAGCUGAUCAACGCAUGAGUAGAAUCGGAAGACAUGACAACAAAUAUUUCAGAAGACGAAAGUGUAAAUUUUUAAUUUAUUUCACUAAAUUUAUUUUGUUUAUUUUGUUUUGAACCAUAACUAUGAUAUGUUUUUCGUUAUUUGGCAGU